GUGGGGAAUCUUAGACAAUGGGCGCAAGCCUGAUCUAGCCAUGCCGCGUGAGCGAUGAAGGCCUUAGGGUUGUAAAGCUCUUUCAGCUGGGAAGAUAAUGACGGAACCAGCAGAAGAAGCCCCGGCUAACUCCGUGCCAGCAGCCGCGGUAAUACGGAGGGGGCUAGCGUUGUUCGGAAUUACUGGGCGUAAAGCGCACGUAGGCGGAUCAGAAAGUCAGAGGUGAAAUCCCAGGGCUCAACCUUGGAACUGCCUUUGAAACUCCUGAUCUUGAGGUCGAGAGAGGUGAGUGGAAUUCCGAGUGUAGAGGUGAAAUUCGUAGAUAUUCGGAGGAACACCAGUGGCGAAGGCGGCUCACUGGCUCGAUACUGACGCUGAGGUGCGAAAGCGUGGGGAGCAAACAGGAUUAGAUACCCCGGUAGUCC
RNAcentral lists this ribosomal RNA (425 nucleotides) under uncultured bacterium. RNAcentral's name for it is "partial 16S ribosomal RNA". It matches the Rfam family "Bacterial small subunit ribosomal RNA", at positions 354 to 796 of the family's 1533-position model. The record is from RNAcentral.